CUUCAACGAGCCCAGCAGGAGCGGCCGUUCGGCAUCCCGUUCGCGGCCGUAGGUGGCCAGGAUCGCCUGCGCCUC
RNAcentral lists this antisense RNA (75 nucleotides) under Streptomyces sp. TLI_053. Its description in RNAcentral is "ASpks TB sRNA". It matches the Rfam family "ASpks TB sRNA". The record is from RNAcentral. Lineage: Bacteria; Bacillati; Actinomycetota; Actinomycetes; Kitasatosporales; Streptomycetaceae.